GAUUGAGCUUAGCAGAAGCCCUUGCCAGGCAUGUGUAUGGCCCUAUGUUUGAUGUCCACUACCAAACACAGAAGCCAGUGUCAUCAAAACCUUCUCUAAGAGUGAGGAAAUAUUGAAGAUAUAUGCUAAGUAAACAUAUAUGUGAGUUCUGAACAAAUUGUUCAAUCCUGACUCCGUAGAAAACUUGUUAAAAACAAAACAGUUUUAUUGGGCUACUGGGAGACUUAAAUAUGUACUAGUUUUUAUGAUGUUUUAUGCUAUAUAAUAGUAGUAUGUGUAGUAAAGUUCCAGUUUUUAUAGAUUCAUGCAACAGCUUAAUAUUCAACUACUUCAGAAAAAGUUUAUAAAGUAAUGAAACAAAUGUGUCCACACACCAAUAAUUAUUGAAUCUAGGUGAAGAAUAUUCUACAUUUCUGCAGAGGUGAAAACUCAAAACCAAAAGUUAAAACCAGUAAAACAAAAACAACAACAACAAAACCUUUGAUAUGCUACUAGAAUCAAGCCACUUGGAGACUACUGAUAUAUCUAAAUAAGCAAAACUAAAUGCUAAAUAUUAAACAUUUAGCUCAACAGUAUCUGAUCUAGGUGAGGUGGUGCACACCUGUAAGAGGCAUAGACUGGAGGAUCUUGAGCUAAAGGCCAGCCUGUACUAUACAACCCAAACUGAGUCAAAAAGAAAGAAAAAAAAGAAAGUUAAAUAAAUUAAAAAAAAAAAAAAAAAAAAAAAAAAAACCCUGGAACUAGUGAAUGACUUCUGCAUGUCAGAUGAUAGUUAUUUUUUUUAACUUUCAAACUACCUCAUGGGCCAUUUAUAUAUAUAGUUCAAUAAAAUCUUAAUUACAAACCCUGUGGAAAAUAUGCUCAAUAUGACUACAAAGUGGAAGAGCCAGGAUUUGAACUCUAAAGCCCAUGUUUAUUCAUUUAAAAUAUGUAAAUUUUAUUACAGCAAAGUACUUUAUGAGAGAAAAUGUUUACUUUUAAUGCUGCUGAUCAUGUUAACAAAUACCAAGGAAAUACCUACAAACCUUCAGCCCCUAUCGUAGAGAAGCAAAGGCACAAUCCUCUUCCCAACCAAUUCCAGACAAAUUACAGGAGCGAUGUAAAGACUUAGAAAUAAGCUAUUCUGAUCCUCCAAACCGCACUUUCCCUUCAUGAUAAGUAAGAAUCAUUGCAAACAUGCUUCUGAUACUAACAUUCUUUGAAAUAAUGAUAAGGAUUUUCUAUUGUGGGAGAUGUCACAGCUUAUUUUCAGAACUUGUUUCUUAUCGAACUGACUUCAAUUUGAGAACUGGCACCAUCCUUUACCGUAUUUGUAUUCUUGGGCAAGUUUUUUAACCUCUUUGAGCCUGCUCCCUCCUGUUAAGCAGUGGUAAUAAUACCUACCGUAGAGGGUUGUACAGAUUAAGCUUGACAUAGAACUCAGAACUCUGGCUGAAGCUUGGCCUGACGGCCAUAUUCCACCAUAACAAAAUUGUUAUGGAGGGGAAAUAUAUCACUACCCAGCAUCAGCUAAAGAAAUGGGAAAGGCUGUUUUUACUGGUCUAUGGCAAACUCAACAAUAAACAAGCACUUACAUGCUUGAUGUGCAAAUCAUGUAAUUUUCUGAUGUCUUUCCUAACUAGUUCAACUUCAGCAUAGAAUCAUGGAUCAUGACAUCUAAUUAACAAAAUUUUCAAAGCUGUCCAGAUAAUGCAAAUCUAAAAUGAAAAAAGUCACUUACUCUGGUGGAGGCAUUUUGGAGGGUUCCACGUCUCGCAGGAACUCACACUGAAGAGCCUGCUCAGCAGUGCAGCGCUUACUGGGAUCCAAGGCAAGCAUGUAAUCGAAUAAGUCGAGUGCAGCUGCGGGGAUGCUAGCGCCAGAGGACACAAGAGUCAAGCACAGCCUUCACACACGCUCGGUGCUUCUAUAAGCACUUAGUUUACAAAUUUGAAAAUUAAUUUUAAAUUAUAUUCUAAAUACCAAUUGCUUUACUCUGAUUACCUAUAUCUUUAAAGUCCUUAUUACUUUAUUAACUAAUAAAUUCUUAUUUUAAUUUAUAGAAUAAUACAGAUAGAUAACUGCAGGUGAUAUUUUAAAACUAAUUUAGUAAUCAGUUAAGUAUUAAUGGUUAAAUAAUGUAUGCAGUAUGUAGCACAAGUAUCAAUUUUCAAAAAUCAUUGUUAUUUUUAUCCAGUUCUGGACUAUUUAGCAAAUAAUAUCCUUUAUCACUCUAUGAGCAAUUCAUGGUUAUAAAUUAAAAACUAACAGCCUCCUAAAAUAAAAUAAAAACUUAAGCUCAAGUCAUAGAAAGCUGUUCCAGUGAAAUUUACAAAACUAUUAUUUAAAGUUUUCUUCAUGUAAACAAAUAAAACCUAAUGGAUUAGUCACAGACUUUGAGAUGAAUGGCACUUCACAUGCAGCAAAGAGAGACGCACAACACAAGGCCCUAGAAGAAGAGCUGCACUAUGCCUUAUCUUAGGUCAAGGUGGCACUUAAGAUUUCUUAAGAAAUGACCUUCUCAGCUGUGUGUGCUAGGGCACACCUAUGGUCUCAGCACGAGUUCAAGACCAUCCUUAGAUACACAGACAAAACAAAAAACAAAAACAAAAAACAAAUUUAAACCUUAUAAUGACU
RNAcentral lists this long non-coding RNA (2616 nucleotides) under Mus musculus (house mouse). Its description in RNAcentral is "long non-coding RNA chr13:17725399-17728015". Lineage: Eukaryota; Metazoa; Chordata; Mammalia; Rodentia; Muridae. The record is from RNAcentral.